RNAcentral lists this ribosomal RNA (626 nucleotides) under Enterobacter asburiae. RNAcentral's name for it is "bacterial SSU rRNA". It matches the Rfam family "Bacterial small subunit ribosomal RNA", at positions 46 to 663 of the family's 1533-position model. The record is from RNAcentral. Lineage: Bacteria; Pseudomonadati; Pseudomonadota; Gammaproteobacteria; Enterobacterales; Enterobacteriaceae.
GCCUAACACAUGCAAGUCGAGCGGUAGCACAGGAGGCUUGCUCCUGGGUGACGAGCGGCGGACGGGUGAGUAAUGUCUGGGAAACUGCCUGAUGGAGGGGGAUAACUACUGGAAACGGUAGCUAAUACCGCAUAACGUCGCAAGACCAAAGAGGGGGACCUUCGGGCCUCUUGCCAUCAGAUGUGCCCAGAUGGGAUUAGCUAGUAGGUGGGGUAACGGCUCACCUAGGCGACGAUCCCUAGCUGGUCUGAGAGGAUGACCAGCCACACUGGAACUGAGACACGGUCCAGACUCCUACGGGAGGCAGCAGUGGGGAAUAUUGCACAAUGGGCGCAAGCCUGAUGCAGCCAUGCCGCGUGUAUGAAGAAGGCCUUCGGGUUGUAAAGUACUUUCAGCGGGGAGGAAGGCGAUAAGGUUAAUAACCUUGUCGAUUGACGUUACCCGCAGAAGAAGCACCGGCUAACUCCGUGCCAGCAGCCGCGGUAAUACGGAGGGUGCAAGCGUUAAUCGGAAUUACUGGGCGUAAAGCGCACGCAGGCGGUCUGUCAAGUCGGAUGUGAAAUCCCCGGGCUCAACCUGGGAACUGCAUUCGAAACUGGGAGGCUAGAGUCUUGUAGAGGGGGGUA